CAAUAACGUGUUUUACUUUUUGUUAUAUACAAAUCAGUUUUAUGUUAUAACGGUGAACUAUUUAAGGCAACUAACGUUUUACAUCUGUGAGCUGAACCAGGUCACCUGGAUAAACAUAAUGUAGCUUUGUGAACCCAGCUUUGAAAAUCGUGAAUUACUUGUCACCUGAGUAUUGCUGAAUUGACACAUAUGCCAACUUUAAUAAAUGUAGACUACAUAUAUUACUACAGCUUUUGAGAUAACUUCAGCCGAAGUAGUACACCAUUAAAAAAAACGUUCCAUGUAACGUUUGAAACGAAUAACAGAAAAUAAGACAUGACUGCCUCUGUGGCGAAAAGAAAAGGCAAAAUUUACAAAUAAUUAGAACAUAUCAAAGUCUUCAACAGCACCGAGCGUAACUAGCGAGUUGACGAUAUCAGACGCAGAUAUUGCUUGUAAUUCCUCCACUGACCAACCAGAGUUGCCCGGCCCCAAAGCUACAAUCUCAUCAAACAUCUUUGUGAAAGAAAUGAAUCCCGAGCCUUGCUAUAAAACGCUAUGUAAUUAAAGAAUGAAUAAACAGGGAGAUUCUCAUCCAGUAUGGGAGGUGUCAUUUCAUCAAAUGCUUCAGAUUUAUGUCAUUAAUAUCUGACGAUGGCAUCAUAGCUACAAUAGGUCCAAGCGAAGACAAAACACUUUCAUCCCAACCUCGUGCUGGAC
Molecule: non-coding RNA, 699 nt
Organism: Ciona intestinalis (vase tunicate)
Lineage: Eukaryota; Metazoa; Chordata; Ascidiacea; Phlebobranchia; Cionidae
Source: RefSeq, a predicted model, not a curated record